Vibrio cholerae O1 is the source of this 99-nucleotide regulatory RNA element. It matches the Rfam family "TPP riboswitch aptamer (THI element)". From Rfam's summary of the family: Vitamin B(1) in its active form thiamin pyrophosphate (TPP) is an essential coenzyme that is synthesised by coupling of pyrimidine and thiazole moieties in bacteria. The previously detected thiamin-regulatory element, thi box was extended, resulting in a new, highly conserved RNA secondary structure, the THI element, which is widely distributed in eubacteria and also occurs in some archaea. NCBI's taxonomy places the organism in Bacteria, Pseudomonadati, Pseudomonadota, Gammaproteobacteria, Vibrionales, Vibrionaceae. The record is from Rfam.
UUCCACUUGUCGGAGUGCCAUUGGGCUGAGACCGUUUAUUCGGGAUCCGUUGAACCUGAUCAGGUUAAUACCUGCGAAGGGAACAAGAGAAGACUCUCU